Molecule: long non-coding RNA, 444 nt
Organism: Triticum aestivum (bread wheat)
Lineage: Eukaryota; Viridiplantae; Streptophyta; Magnoliopsida; Poales; Poaceae
Exons: 3
Source: RefSeq, a predicted model, not a curated record
CGCACGUCAACGCCGCCACGGCAGGAUCGGACCACGCGUGAUUCGCGCAAACCCUGACACCCCUCUCCAAUCCGCGGACACCGGUAGAAUCCCGUCGAUCUCCUCGUCCGAUUUCCCCAACCUCCGCUCCAGGUCUCCCUAGAAAUCGACUGCACGAAGCUCAGGAAGCUCCGCCGUCUCGUUCAACUCCAGUGACUCUGACGGACGACUUCGGCCAGUCCAGACGCCAAAGUUGACUUCGUGGGCACACCUGUACUCGUUGUGCUCCGCCUCAUCCACGGGCAUCUUCCCCCAACUCCUUUCACCAAUGGGUGCGGUGCCCCGUUCGAUCAGAGCCGAGCGCCGCCAUCUUGCCCGACUUCGGCGACAACUCCGAUUACUCGGAGCGUGACGAGUAGAAAUUAUCAGGAAUUGUGAGUGCGACGACCUUCAUCAAACUUACAG